This 514-nucleotide ribosomal RNA is filed under the name Campylobacter jejuni. RNAcentral's name for it is "bacterial SSU rRNA". It matches the Rfam family "Bacterial small subunit ribosomal RNA", at positions 1014 to 1533 of the family's 1533-position model. The record is from RNAcentral. Lineage: Bacteria; Pseudomonadati; Campylobacterota; Epsilonproteobacteria; Campylobacterales; Campylobacteraceae.
AGCUUGCUAGAACUUAGAGACAGGUGCUGCACGGCUGUCGUCAGCUCGUGUCGUGAGAUGUUGGGUUAAGUCCCGCAACGAGCGCAACCCACGUAUUUAGUUGCUAACGGUUCGGCCGAGCACUCUAAAUAGACUGCCUUCGUAAGGAGGAGGAAGGUGUGGACGACGUCAAGUCAUCAUGGCCCUUAUGCCCAGGGCGACACACGUGCUACAAUGGCAUAUACAAUGAGACGCAAUACCGCGAGGUGGAGCAAAUCUAUAAAAUAUGUCCCAGUUCGGAUUGUUCUCUGCAACUCGAGAGCAUGAAGCCGGAAUCGCUAGUAAUCGUAGAUCAGCCAUGCUACGGUGAAUACGUUCCCGGGUCUUGUACUCACCGCCCGUCACACCAUGGGAGUUGAUUUCACUCGAAGCCGGAAUACUAAACUAGUUACCGUCCACAGUGGAAUCAGCGACUGGGGUGAAGUCGUAACAAGGUAACCGUAGGAGAACCUGCGGUUGGAUCACCUCCUUUCUA